This 497-nucleotide ribosomal RNA is filed under the name uncultured bacterium. RNAcentral describes it as "partial 16S ribosomal RNA". It matches the Rfam family "Bacterial small subunit ribosomal RNA", at positions 28 to 507 of the family's 1533-position model. The record is from RNAcentral.
GAUGAACGCUGGCGGCGUGCCUAAUACAUGCAAGUCGAGCGAACGGACGAGAAGCUUGCUUCUCUGAUGUUAGCGGCGGACGGGUGAGUAACACGUGGAUAACCUACCUAUAAGACUGGGAUAACUUCGGGAAACCGGAGCUAAUACCGGAUAAUAUUUUGAACCGCAUGGUUCAAAAGUGAAAGACGGUCUUGCUGUCACUUAUAGAUGGAUCCGCGCUGCAUUAGCUAGUUGGUAAGGUAACGGCUUACCAAGGCAACGAUGCAUAGCCGACCUGAGAGGGUGAUCGGCCACACUGGAACUGAGACACGGUCCAGACUCCUACGGGAGGCAGCAGUAGGGAAUCUUCCGCAAUGGGCGAAAGCCUGACGGAGCAACGCCGCGUGAGUGAUGAAGGUCUUCGGAUCGUAAAACUCUGUUAUUAGGGAAGAACAUAUGUGUAAGUAACUGAGCACAUCUUGACGGUACCUAAUCAGAAAGCCACGGCUAACUACGUA